UGUAACACAUGGUUUUGGUAUGUUGCAUUUCUUUUUUCAAUCUAAUCUAUUUUAAGAAGUUGUCUUCUUAAUUUUUUUAUUCACCUCUAUUCUAGAAAAUGUUCCAUGUGGUGAUGAAAAGAAAUCUAUUAAAGGUUUUUGCAUUGUUGUUGCCAUGAGGCUUACAAAAACAUCUCAUAGAUAUGUUUUUCAAUUAGAUGAAAAUUUGUCUUAGAUCACAAUUAAGAAUAGAUAUAAAGGUAAAAAUACAAAUAUAUAUAUAUAUACUUAUAUAUAAAGUGUGUAUAUAUUUACUUAUAAAGUGUGUAUAUAUAUACUUAUAUAUAAAGUGUAUAUAUAUAUAUACACACUUUAUGUGACUCAUAUUUUGGGUUACUUGUCUCUAUUUACAUAUUUAUUGGUUAUCUAUCUCUUAACAGGUUGCUGUAACCUACUAUGGUUUUUGAUAUAUUUGUCUUCUAAACUUCAUACUAGAGUUAUGAGUGGAAUGCACACCACAAUUACAGCAAUAGAGUAUUCUGGGUUUGUCUCUAUACUUAAACUUACCAUUGUGUUUUAUACAUUGCAAAAUUUUCUUUUUGCAUAUUAGUUUUUUUUUUUUUUCAGUUCUUUCAGAUUGAAGAACUCCCUUUAGUAUUUCUUGCAAUGGGUCUGGCGAUGGUAAAUUUUCUCAGUUUUUGAUUGUCUUGGAAAAACUUUAUUUCUCCUUCAUAUCUG
This 717-nucleotide long non-coding RNA is filed under the name Pan troglodytes (chimpanzee). RNAcentral's name for it is "long non-coding RNA NONPTRT001383". Lineage: Eukaryota; Metazoa; Chordata; Mammalia; Primates; Hominidae. The record is from RNAcentral.